Hippoglossus stenolepis (Pacific halibut) is the source of this 555-nucleotide long non-coding RNA. RefSeq lists it as uncharacterized. The transcript is spliced from 4 exons. The record is from RefSeq and is a predicted model, not a curated record. Lineage: Eukaryota; Metazoa; Chordata; Actinopteri; Pleuronectiformes; Pleuronectidae.
CACAGAGAUGGCGGCAGAAGAGGCGAGAGCGUGACGCAGGGAGCGAGAAGGGAAACGACAAGCGAAAAGGUGCAACGCCAGAAGAAAAAGGCCCAAAAGCCCACAUAUAGAAACCCAUCCCAUGAACCAGAUCCCUCCUGCGUAUCAGCCCAUCCAUCUGCUCUAAGUCCCUCUCCCCAGAGCCUGGUGGGAGGUAAUGCCGCUGUGACAGGUGGAGCCGGACCGGAACGUGAUGCGCGGAGAAGUUGUCACACGUUGAUUCUUUGAGCCUCUCCCUCAGAGUCUUUGUGUGCCGCCUAAUGAACGACUCAAGACUUCCUGUCCUCCCCCUAAAUGAAGAUGUAUCAUCACGUACGGAGGCAAAAAAGGUUCAAACCGUUCUCUGGCUGCUUCGUUCCAACACAGCGAUCAGCCGCGCUACGAUGCUGCCCUCCCACAGUCUGGACACUGACCGACCCCAAGCUGCAAUCAGCAAAGUGGCAACACGGGUGGCGACUCGUGUCCGUUCAGCGUGAAUACUCUAACCUGGGCCGGCAGCGUGGUCGUAACCACCCA